UAGGGAAUCUUCGGCAAUGGACGAAAGUCUGACCGAGCAACGCCGCGUGAGUGAAGAAGGUUUUCGGAUCGUAAAACUCUGUUGUUAGAGAAGAACAAGGACGUUAGUAACUGAACGUCCCCUGACGGUAUCUAACCAGAAAGCCACGGCUAACUACGUGCCAGCAGCCGCGGUAAUACGUAGGUGGCAAGCGUUGUCCGGAUUUAUUGGGCGUAAAGCGAGCGCAGGCGGUUUCUUAAGUCUGAUGUGAAAGCCCCCGGCUCAACCGGGGAGGGUCAUUGGAAACUGGGAGACUGGAGGGCAGGAGAGGAGAGUGGAAUUCCAUGUGGAGCGGUGAAAUGCGUAGAAAUAUGGAGGAACACCAGUGGCGAAGGCGGCUCUCUGGUCUGUAACUGACGCUGAGGCUCGAAAGCGUGGGGAGCAAACAGG
RNAcentral lists this ribosomal RNA (429 nucleotides) under Gemmatimonadota bacterium. Its description in RNAcentral is "Gemmatimonadetes bacterium partial 16S ribosomal RNA". It matches the Rfam family "Bacterial small subunit ribosomal RNA", at positions 355 to 776 of the family's 1533-position model. Lineage: Bacteria; Pseudomonadati; Gemmatimonadota. The record is from RNAcentral.